This 77-nucleotide transfer RNA is filed under the name Verrucomicrobiales bacterium. RNAcentral's name for it is "tRNA-Pro". It matches the Rfam family "tRNA". Rfam says of the family: Transfer RNA (tRNA) molecules are approximately 80 nucleotides in length. Their secondary structure includes four short double-helical elements and three loops (D, anti-codon, and T loops). Further hydrogen bonds mediate the characteristic L-shaped molecular structure. tRNAs have two regions of fundamental functional importance: the anti-codon, which is responsible for specific mRNA codon recognition, and the 3' end, to which the tRNAs corresponding amino acid is attached (by aminoacyl-tRNA synthetases). tRNAs cope with the degeneracy of the genetic code in two manners: having more than one tRNA (with a specific anti-codon) for a particular amino acid; and 'wobble' base-pairing, i.e. permitting non-standard base-pairing at the 3rd anti-codon position. The record is from RNAcentral. Lineage: Bacteria; Pseudomonadati; Verrucomicrobiota; Verrucomicrobiia; Verrucomicrobiales.
CGGGGUGUAGCACAGCUUGGUAGUGCGCCUGCUUUGGGAGCAGGAGGUCGCUGGUUCGAAUCCAGUCACCCCGACCA